GGGGGCGAUACGGUUUCGACGGGGAUAGUUGAAGCUGUAGAAGCGUGCCGAGGUUCCUACAGGCCUCGUUAAAUAGGUAGGAAAACUUUAAUCGCAGACAACUACGAUUACGCUGUAGCCGCUUAGUCGGCUUCCGUUCUCCUGAUCUUGCCUGUCGGGUCAGAUGAGGGCGUCAACGAGGCAGGAUUGCCGAUCUUCCAUUCUCGAGGGGAGAAAGGUGAAACCCUAUCGAGAUAGCGCGUGAUUAAUCCUUCCCCUGGGAGUUCUCAAGCGCGAAUUUAAAUCAGAGGAUACGCACGUAGAAGCUGCAGUGGAAUGUUUCCGGACGCGGGUUCGACUCCCGCCGCCUCCACCA
Molecule: transfer-messenger RNA, 355 nt
Filed under: Deltaproteobacteria bacterium
Lineage: Bacteria; Pseudomonadati; Myxococcota; Myxococcia
Also listed under: 1 other name
Rfam family: transfer-messenger RNA
About the family: Bacterial tmRNA, also known as 10Sa RNA or SsrA, is named for its dual tRNA and mRNA-like properties.
Source: RNAcentral